This is a long non-coding RNA of Terrapene triunguis (Three-toed box turtle), 774 nucleotides long. RefSeq lists it as uncharacterized. The transcript is spliced from 5 exons. NCBI's taxonomy places the organism in Eukaryota, Metazoa, Chordata, Testudines, Emydidae. The record is from RefSeq and is a predicted model, not a curated record.
AUUCCACGGAUCAUCAAGGAGCCACAUCUGAGAAUGCUCAGAUUGGUAGGUAGCGGGCGACCACCAUCCUGAAAGAGGAGUGAUUGGAAGAUUUAUUGCUGGACAAAGAUUUAGGCACAACAGAGGGAAGAGGACCUCGCUCCUCCCCGCCGACUGAUACAGGACAUGCAGGCUAUAUUGUGUGUCAUGACUUUGAUAGACCUGUAUCUGAGGAGAGGCAGAAAGUGAAGAUUCAGCAAGUAACCCAUGAUGACAGAAAGGGGAAUCAACUGAGGCCAGAGAUAGUGAUGACAGUGCCAGUGGGCAAAUCUCUUCCAUUUCUGCAGCUGUAGGUUUAACUCUUGGAACAGAGCAAGUCCCUUCUGAGUGGAUGACAACACUGCCUUGAAAGACUGGCCUUUGAGAAGCAAGUGAUCAUGGUAUGGGAAGAUGAGAAUUGCUUCCUGCCAAAGGUUCUGCAGGUCUCUGACACCCCUGGAACUGAGCAGGGCUUGAUCUCUGGACAGUCUGUGACCUACUGAAGUGCUUCUUGUAUAAAUACCCAAGGAAAAACGGGUGGCCCUGGAGUCCUUAAGUGUGUGCAGGGAGUCAUUUGUGGUUGCCGAGAAGAGUUUGUGACCAAAGGGGAGGUCCUCUACUGUGUUUUGGACCUCUCUCAGUAACCCUGAAAGCUGGAGCAUGGACACCCUGCGUAUAACUACCACCAUGGAGAUGGAUUUGGCAGCACUAUCUACAGCAUCACGGAUGCUUUGAGAGCUGUUCUGGCCAACAGCU